This 119-nucleotide ribosomal RNA is filed under the name Salmo salar (Atlantic salmon). The record is from RNAcentral. Lineage: Eukaryota; Metazoa; Chordata; Actinopteri; Salmoniformes; Salmonidae.
GCUUACGGCCAUACCAGCCUGGGUACGCCCGAUCUCGUCUGAUCUCGGAAGCGAAGCAGGGUCGGGCCUGGUUAGUACUUGGAUGGGAGACCGCCUGGCAAUACCAGGUGCUGUAAGCA